Molecule: ribosomal RNA, 776 nt
Filed under: uncultured Neocallimastigales
Lineage: Eukaryota; Fungi; Neocallimastigomycota; Neocallimastigomycetes; Neocallimastigales
Description: partial large subunit ribosomal RNA
Rfam family: Eukaryotic large subunit ribosomal RNA
Source: RNAcentral
UAUGUGAUCGUCUCUCGCAUAUCAAUAAGCGGAGGAAAAGAAACUAACAAGGAUUCCCUAGUAACGGCGAGUGAAGCGGGAAGAGCUCAAAUUUGAAAUCUUAAAGGUUUUCCCUUGACGAAUUGUAGUUUAAAGAAGUGUUUUCCUGUUGAAGGUUUUGGUAAAAGUUCUUUGGAAUAGGACAUCAUAGAGGGUGAGAAUCCCGUAUUUGACCAUUACUUUCAGCUUUGUGAUACACUUUCAAAGAGUCGGAUUGUUUGGGAAUGCAGUCCAAAAUGGGUGGUAAAUUUCAUCUAAAGCUAAAUAUUGGCGAGAGACCGAUAGCGAACAAGUACCGUGAGGGAAAGAUGAAAAGAGCUUUGAAAAGAGAGUUAAACAGUACGUGAAAUUGUCAAAAGGGAAGCGUUUGACACCAGUGUUGUUUUUCUGAAAAUCAAUUAAAGAACUGUUUAUGCUAAGCUGUUUAGACUUUAUCAGCUAUACUGUUUAGUUUUGAGCCUUUCUUUAAUGCACUUUUCAGUUAACAAGUCAACAUCAAUUUCUUUUGCUGUAAAAAAGCUUGAGGAAGGUGGCUUGAGAUUCGUCUUAAGUGUUUAUAGCCUCUUGCCUAUGCAGUCGGAGAGAUUGAGGUCUGCAGCGUAGAUCCUUCGGGGCUAAAUGCAUUUGUGCUAAGUUAUAGCAUUUUAUAGACAACUUGUUGACUAUGAUUUGUCUUGUAGCUUACUCGCUUAUGUUAUUUUACCUACGCUUAGGAUGUUGAGUCAUCACACAUCUCU